Gasterosteus aculeatus aculeatus (three-spined stickleback) is the source of this 233-nucleotide non-coding RNA. NCBI's taxonomy places the organism in Eukaryota, Metazoa, Chordata, Actinopteri, Perciformes, Gasterosteidae. The record is from RefSeq and is a predicted model, not a curated record.
CCGUCCGCUCGCUGCAAGCCACACGCAGAGGCCGAUUUGGACACACCUUUAUCCCCAUUAAACCAGCACCACGUGACUCAAUUAACGCAAAAGAUGAGAGAAGGGGCGACCAGCUGGCUCCAAUGUCGGAGGUCAGCGGACGUCUUCUCUAAGCCAUUAACCCAAAUCCCAGUUGGCAGGACAACAGAAACGUUCGCUCACCUUUCAGCUCAAUAAAAGAGAACUUCUUACUC